GACCGGGGACGACAGCAGUAUGAAGGUCAGGCUGAAGACCUUACCCGAUUAGCUGAGAGGUGGUGCAUGGCCGUCGUCAGUUCGUACUGUGAAGCAUCCUGUUAAGUCAGGCAACGAGCGAGACCCACGUCCACAGUUGCCAGCAUACCCUCCGGGGUGAUGGGUACACUGUGGAGACCGCCGCUGCUAAAGCGGAGGAAGGAGUGGGCAACGGUAGGUCAGUAUGCCCCGAAUCUCCCGGGCUACACGCGGGCUACAAUGGUUGGUACAAUGGGCAUCUACCCCGAAAGGGGAAGGAAAUCUCUUAAAGCCAAUCGUAGUUCGGAUUGAGGGCUGCAACUCGCCCUCAUGAAGCUGGAAUCCGUAGUAAUCGCGUUUCAACAGAACGCGGUGAAUACGUCCCUGCUCCUU
RNAcentral lists this ribosomal RNA (411 nucleotides) under uncultured Methanosaeta sp. Its description in RNAcentral is "bacterial SSU rRNA". It matches the Rfam family "Archaeal small subunit ribosomal RNA", at positions 928 to 1338 of the family's 1478-position model. Lineage: Archaea; Methanobacteriati; Methanobacteriota; Methanomicrobia; Methanotrichales; Methanotrichaceae. The record is from RNAcentral.